This 486-nucleotide ribosomal RNA is filed under the name Streptococcus sanguinis. Its description in RNAcentral is "bacterial SSU rRNA". It matches the Rfam family "Bacterial small subunit ribosomal RNA", at positions 28 to 495 of the family's 1533-position model. The record is from RNAcentral. Lineage: Bacteria; Bacillati; Bacillota; Bacilli; Lactobacillales; Streptococcaceae.
GACGAACGCUGGCGGCGUGCCUAAUACAUGCAAGUAGAACGCUGAAGAGAGGAGCUUGCUCUUCUUGGAUGAGUUGCGAACGGGUGAGUAACGCGUAGGUAACCUGCCUGGUAGCGGGGGAUAACUAUUGGAAACGAUAGCUAAUACCGCAUGAUAUUAAUUGUCGCAUGAUAAUUAAUUGAAAGAUGCAAUUGCAUCACUACCAGAUGGACCUGCGUUGUAUUAGCUAGUUGGUGAGGUAACGGCUCACCAAGGCGACGAUACAUAGCCGACCUGGGAGGGUGAUCGGCCACACUGGGACUGAGACACGGCCCAGACUCCUACGGGAGGCAGCAGCUAGGGAAUCUUCGGCAAUGGGGGGAACCCUGACCGAGCAACGCCGCGUGAGUGAAGAAGGUUUUCGGAUCGUAAAGCUCUGUUGUAAGAGAAGAACGGGUGUGAGAGUGGAAAGUUCACACUGUGACGGUAUCUUACCAGAAAGGACGG